CUGAAUAACUACGCAGAUCGCUUCGGUUUCACACCGGCGACAAAUCCUUCAAGUGUCUGCCUUAUCAACUUUCGAUGGUAGUUUCUACGCCUACCAUGGUUUCGACGGGUAACGGAGAAUUAGGGUUCGACUCCGGAGAGGGAGCCUGAGAAACGGCUACCACUUCUAAGGAAGGCAGCAGGCGCGCAAAUUACCCACUCUCGGCACGAGGAGGUAGUGACGAAAAAUAACGAGAUAACCCGCUCUAGCGAGUUAUCAUCGGAAUGAGUACAAUCUAAAUCCUUUAACGAGGACCUAGCGGAGGGCAAGUCUGGUGCCAGCAGCCGCGGUAAUUCCAGCUCCGCCAGUGUAUAUCUAUGCUGCUGCGGUUAAAAAG
RNAcentral lists this ribosomal RNA (376 nucleotides) under Nematoda sp. RNAcentral describes it as "SSU rRNA". It matches the Rfam family "Eukaryotic small subunit ribosomal RNA", at positions 252 to 626 of the family's 1831-position model. The record is from RNAcentral. Lineage: Eukaryota; Metazoa; Nematoda.